Molecule: ribosomal RNA, 987 nt
Filed under: Plasmodium knowlesi
Lineage: Eukaryota; Apicomplexa; Aconoidasida; Haemosporida; Plasmodiidae
Description: SSU rRNA
Rfam family: Eukaryotic small subunit ribosomal RNA
Source: RNAcentral
ACAUAACUGAUGCCUCCGCGUAUCGACUUUGUGCGCAUUUUAGCUAUUACGUGUUCUUUUAAUUAAAAUGAUUCUUUUUAAGAUUCAUCUAUUAAAAAUUUGCUUCUGCAUAAUUUUUUUUGAUGAUCUUGUUACUUUGAGUAAAUUAGAGUGUUCAAAGCAAACAGAUAUAGCAUUUGUGCGUUUGAAUACUACAGCAUGGAAUAACAAAAUUGAACAAGUCAGAAUUUUUUUGUUCUUUUUUCUUAUUUUGGCUUAGUUACGAUUAAUAGGAGUAGCUUGGGGGCAUUUGUAUUCAGAUGUCAGAGGUGAAAUUCUUAGAUUUUCUGGAGACAAACAACUGCGAAAGCAUUUGCCUAAAAUACUUCCAUUAAUCAAGAACGAAAGUUAAGGGAGUGAAGACGAUCAGAUACCGUCGUAAUCUUAACCAUAAACUAUGCCGACUAGGCUUUGGAUGAAAGAUUUUAAAAUAAGAGUUUUUCUUUUCUCUCCGGAGAUUAGAACUCUUAGAUUGCUUCCUUCAGUGCCUUAUGAGAAAUCAAAGUCUUUGGGUUCUGGGGCGAGUAUUCGCGCAAGCGAGAAAGUUAAAAGAAUUGACGGAAGGGCACCACCAGGCGUGGAGCUUGCGGCUUAAUUUGACUCAACACGGGAAAACUCACUAGUUUAAGACAAGAGUAGGAUUGACAGAUUAAUAGCUCUUUCUUGAUUUCUUGGAUGGUGAUGCAUGGCCGUUUUUAGUUCGUGAAUAUGAUUUGUCUGGUUAAUUCCGAUAACGAACGAGAUCUUAACCUGCUAAUUAGCGGCAAAUACGAUAUAUUCUUAUGUAGAAUUGAAUAUAGUGGAUUUGUUAGAUUUUGAAGAAAAUAUUGGAAUUACGUUAAAUGUGAUUCCUUUCCCUUUUCUACUUAAUUUACAUUUCCAUCUAUUUCUUUUUUGCGUAUGAAUGUAUUUGCUUGAUUGUAAAGCUUCUUAGAGGAACGAUGUGUG